Molecule: microRNA precursor, 125 nt
Filed under: Brassica oleracea var. oleracea
Lineage: Eukaryota; Viridiplantae; Streptophyta; Magnoliopsida; Brassicales; Brassicaceae
Description: MIR9563 microRNA precursor family
Rfam family: MIR9563 microRNA precursor family
Source: Rfam by way of RNAcentral
GGAAGUUAAGAAACUGUUUCUUAACUUUUAACUAAAAAAGCUAAAAACCAGUUCUUAAAGUCUUUAUUUAAGAACCGAUUCUUAAUUUUUUUAGUUAAAAGUUAAGAAACAAUUUCUUAACUUCC